RNAcentral lists this ribosomal RNA (492 nucleotides) under uncultured bacterium. RNAcentral's name for it is "partial 16S ribosomal RNA". It matches the Rfam family "Bacterial small subunit ribosomal RNA", at positions 29 to 507 of the family's 1533-position model. The record is from RNAcentral.
AGUGAACGCUGGCGGUAGGCCUAACACAUGCAAGUCGAACGGCAGCACAGUAAGAGCUUGCUCUUACGGGUGGCGAGUGGCGGACGGGUGAGGAAUACAUCGGAAUCUACUUUUUCGUGGGGGAUAACGUAGGGAAACUUACGCUAAUACCGCAUACGACCUACGGGUGAAAGCAGGGGAUCUUCGGACCUUGCGCGAUUGAAUGAGCUGAUGUCGGAUUAGCUAGUUGGCGGGGUAAAGGCCCACCAAGGCGACGAUCGGUAGCUGGUCUGAGAGGAUGAUCAGCCACACUGGAACUGGGACACGGUCCAGACUCCUACGGGAGGCAGAAGUGGGGAAUAUUGGACGAUGGGCGCAAGCCUGAUCCAGCCAUACCGCGUGGGUGAAGAAGGCCUUCGGGUUGUAAAGCCCUUUUGUUGGGAAAGAAAAGCAGCAGGUUAAUACCCCGCUGUUCUGACGGUACCCAAAGAAUAAGCACCGGCUAACUUCGUG